CCUACGGGUGGCAGCAGUGGGGAAUAUUGCACAAUGGGGGAAACCCUGAUGCAGCGACGCCGCGUGAGCGAUGAAGUUUUUCGGUAUGUAAAGCCCUUUCAGCAGGGAAGAAAAUGACGGUACCUGACUAAGAAGCACCGGCUAACUACGUGCCAGCAGCCGCGGUAAUACGGAGGGGGCAAGCGUUACUCGGAUUUACUGGGUGUAAAGGGCGCGUAGGCGGGACUGCAAGCCAGAUGUGAAAGCCAGGGGCUUAACCCUGGGACUGCAUUUGAAACUGUAAGGCUAGAGUAUCGGAGAGGCAGGCGGAAUUCUUGGUGUAGCGGUGAAAUGCGUAGAGAUAUGGAAGAACACCAGUGGCGAAGGCGGCCGCCUGGCGUAUUACUGACGCUGAGGCACGAAAGCGUGGGGAGCAAAUAGGAUUAGAUACCCGUGUAGUC
RNAcentral lists this ribosomal RNA (440 nucleotides) under uncultured bacterium. RNAcentral describes it as "partial 16S ribosomal RNA". It matches the Rfam family "Bacterial small subunit ribosomal RNA", at positions 338 to 795 of the family's 1533-position model. The record is from RNAcentral.